GGGACAGUGAGCCAACCGAAAACCUAUCCACUCUAGCUUUCUGAGCAAAAUACACAGCAAAACUCAUUUUUUUAAACUCAUUCCUUGCCUUUUCCGGUCACCAUAAAAACCUUUUCAAAGCCCCCCCUCUCCCUUUCUCCCAAGUGGUCUUGAGGUUCAAUUAUGUUGAGUAAGUCAAUUUUGGACUCUGUUUGUGCUUGAGCUUUUUCACUAGUCAUGGUAGAGACCUUAAAAUGGAAGAACAAUUUUUAUCCUUCUUAUUUUCUUUUUUCAUCUAUUUGAGACCUUUGCGUUAAUUUGAUGAGUUGUUAGAAUUAUAUUUAAGAUUGUGGAUUUCAUGGAAAAUGGUUGGGAAGCAUUGAUUAGAGGAAGAGAGAGAUGCAGGGUGGGUGAUAUACAUGUGUAGGUGAAAUUAUUUUGGUCUUUCUCUUUUUCUAUUUUUAAAAUGAUGCCAAGUUAGCACAAAAUUAAGCCAUGAAAUAAGGUUCAGUUAUGGGCAAACAGAAAGAUAAACAUUUGGACAUAAUGAAUAAUAUUUUCCACAAAUAUGUGCAAAGCAUGUAUUAAAUAUUUUCCCAAUUUAGAUAGGUUUAUACAUCAAAAAGGGAAUGGAGGGUUUUCUCUCUAGAGGGGCGGAUGGAACAUUUCUUGGACAAGCGGAUAGGGCCACAAAGAAGGUGAAGCACCGAGAGGAACACCAUAAUUUUGUUCCUGGCCAUGUGUUUUUUCGAGAUAAGGUAGUGUAUGGAGCGGAGAUAAAGGUAGAAGGGGACGAGAAUGGGGUCUUUGAGAAUGUAGUCAUCGGGGAGAAGGAUAUUACUAUCAUGAAGUUAAGGCAAAUACUAGAGAUGGCAAUAUUUGAUAAUCUACAGGAUGAACUGGCUAAGCAAUGGAAGAGAGCAAUGGUUGUGAGGCUCUUGGGUUGUCGUAUUGGCUAUAAGGCUUUAUGCAAUCGAUUGAACGCGCUUUGGAAUCCUACAGGGGCAAAGAUUUGGGAGCUAGGUAAUGAUUAUUUCCUCAUUAAGUUUACUAAUGAAACGGAUUUUCAUCGGGCUUUGUUGGAUGGACCUUGGUUGAUGCAAGGAAGUUAUCUGCUUGUGCAACCUUGGCAUCUAGGAUUUGAUAUUCAGGAUAUUAGCUUUUAUAUAGCUGUGAUUUGGGUGAGAUUUCCAGGUCUCCCUAUUCAUCCUUAUCAAAAGCAAGUCCUCAGUGUGAUUGGUUCUGUUAGUGGUCAUGUAGUCAAGAUCGAUUACAAUACUAGCGAUUUGAUGAGGGGGAAUUUUGCUCGGUUAGCGGUCUUUAUGGAUCUCAGUGAGCCUUUCGCAUCUCAGUUGCUUAUUAAUGGGAGAGUCCAAAAGGUGGAGUAUGAGAAUAUCCUAAAAUUAUGUUUUGAGUGUGGUAGAAUUGGGCACAGGAAGGUGUUUUGCUCUUUUAAACAAGCUCCAAAGGAAGGGUAUGGAGGGAAGGUUUCAGAGAAUGCUCAAAUGGAGACGAAAGGACAAGAGGGUGGUUUUGGGCCGUGGAUAGUGGUCACUUAUCGGGCAAAGAGGAAUCAGGUCAGGCAUGAUAGUUCUCAAAAUUUUCGAGGAUCUCGUUUUAACCACUUAGCAGAUGAUUUAAAGGUCGUUGCAAAUUUGGAAGGUGGUGAUAGAGUGGUGGUUCCUUAAACGAUCGAUACUGUGAGAUUUUCUUUGCCAAAGGAUAAGGGUGCCGUAGUGGUACAAUUAGGGCUGCUGGGUCUAAAAGGGAUCUUUUUGAGUUCCAAGCCAAGAGACAGGAGGUUGGGACUCACAUGAGACAAUCUUUUGGGCCUCAAAAGGUUUCCUGGCCUUCAUUAGAUCCAGAAUGUCAUACGGUGGUUAGGAUUGAGGAGAAUUAUUCCAAUUCACCUAAUGAGGGCGAUCCUUGUAAAAGGAUAUAUCUGAAUUCGAGGCUAUCGAAUUUAACUCCAAACGAGUUUGGUGGGCAACCUCCAGAUAAAGGAAAUGUUGAUGAGGCGGGUGAUGUUUUUUCUCCUUCAAAGAAUAAAUUAAAGGAUAUGGAGGUGAAUGGUGAAAAUAGCGAAGAUGAGGAUGAUGAAUCAGGGGAUGUAAGAAAGUACUCUGAUUUUGGGGAGAAGGAGCCGUUUGAUCCUUAUCUCAGGGAUUAAACUUAGGUUUUCUUUCUUCUAUCUUUGUUUAUAUCGAUGAUUAUUUGGAGUUGCCAAGGGGCUUCUAAUUGUGAUCUUUUUAGAAUUCUUUGUAUGUUUUUGGAUAAUUAUAAGCCUAUCAUGUUAGUGCUUGUUGAACCUAAGCUUAGUAGUGUUAAAGCAGAUAAAGUGAUUCAUAAAAUUGGUUUUUCGUUCUCUCAUCGAGUUAAGGCUCGAGGCUUUUUGGGAGGCAUCUGGGUUUUAUGGAAUAGGCCAUGGAGUGUGAAGGUGAUUGAGAAUAAUCAUAAAUUCAUCCAUAUGUAGAUCAUGGAUUCAGGAUUGCCAGUUAUUUUCUUUACUGCUAUUUGUGGCAGUCUGGUGGCUUCGAUUAGAAAUUCUCUUUGGCAUAAGCUUUCGAUUUUUAAUGAUAGUAUUUCUGAUCUUUGGCUUCUUGUUGGGGACUUUAAUGCUUUGCUCUCUUAUGAGGACAGACAAGGUGGGUUGAAUAGAAGGUCAGGGAUUAGUAAUCAAUUUGUAUCUUGUUUUGCUUCAGCUGCUUUGUCUGAGCUGGUGUUUAGGGGUCCUAAAUUUACUUGGAAGCGUGGAAGCUUAUAUCAAAGAUUGGAUAGAGCUUUUUAUUAUGGACCAUGGAGUUUGAAAUUCCCUGAAGCGGAUGUUUUACGUCUUCCAUGGAUUCAUUCUAAUCAUAGGCCUCAAUUAGUUAGGCUCCAGAGUUGGUCUCCCCCGGUUAAUAGAAAUAGGCUUUCAAAUUUCAAAUGGCGUGGCUUAAUCAUAGUUAGUAUCCUGAUUUUGUUAAGCAAGCUUGUGUUAGGAGAGGAUCUUUGAUGCAGACAAUUGUUGGUUUUGCUAAUGAUUUGAAGGAAUGGAAUGGUAAAGUGUUUGGGAAUGUUUUUCAUUUUAAAAAGCAGUUGCUUGCUAGGAUAGAGGGGAUUCAAAGAGUACUUGAGAAAAGGACUUCCUCUCAUUUGAUGGAAUUGGAAUGUCAACUCCGUAGAGAGCUUGAUGUUAUUCUAUAUCGUGAGGAGCUUAUCUGGUUUCAAAAGUCGAGGUUAGAAUGGAUUCAAUGGGAUGAUAAGAAUACCUCAUAUUUUCAUCAACGAACCGUUAAAAGAAGAAAAUGUAAUAGAAUUAUUGUGUUGAAAGAUGAAGAAGGGAAUCGGUUAGAGGAGCAAGGUACUUUAAAGAAGCUUGCUAUAGAUUUCUUUUCCAAGCUUUAUUUGGAUGAUGAUAUAAAGAAUAGUCGUUACAAACUGAGGGGUCUUUUUCCUACCCUUAGUGAUGAUUGCCUUAAGGGUUUGGAUUCUUUGUUUUUGGAUAAGGAGAUCAAAGUAGCUCUCUUUGAAAUGAAACCUUGGAAGGCUUUGGGGCCUAAUGGCCUACAUGCUAUUUUUUUCAAAAAUCCUAGUCCAUGGUUAGGAAGGAUAUGUGUGAAGAAGUUCAGAGAAUCUUAGGGAGAGGUGUGGUGGAGAGGGCUAUGAAUAAUACUUUUAUUGCUCUGGUUCCCAAAAUACAAAGUCCAGUCUCUAUUUCUCAAUUCAGACCUAUUAGCUUGUGCUUUGUCUUGUACAAGAUUGUGACUAAAGUGAUUGCUAAUAGGUUGAAAAAGGUGAUUUCUUUUGUAAUUGGUCCUACUUAAACCAGCUUUGUGAAGGGUAGGAAGAUAACGGAUAAUAUAGUUAUAACGCAAGAAGUGAGGCACUCUAUGAGAAGGAAAGUAGGUAGAAAGGGAUGGAUGGCUAUAAAAGUUGAUGUUGAGAAGGCUUACGAUCAUUUGUGUUGGAGUUUUUUGAAUGAUACAUUAUGUGAUAUGGGUCUAUCUCUGAAUUUAGUUUGUGUUAUUAUGAAUUGUGUUUUGUCUUCAACGAUGCAAAUUUUAUGGAAUGGUGAGGUGAUUGAGCAGUUCUUUCUAAGGCGUGGGUUAAGACAAGGUGAUCCAUUGUCGCUGUAUUUAUUUGUUUUGUGCAUGGAAAGGCUAGCUCAUGGAAUUUCUGUUGCUAUUGAGCAGGGUAAUGGAAGCCUAUUAGAUUUUCGAAGAAAGGACCUCACCUUACUCAUUUAUUCUUUGCUGAUGAUUUGUUUUUGUUUGUUGAGGCUUCUUUGGAUCAAGUUGAGGUGGUUCAUAGAGGUGUUGGAGGAUUUUCACAGUAUUCCGAGGCAGAAGGUUAAUGUUGCUAGGACUCAAGUUUAUUUCUCUAAAAAUGUUGAUGGGAGAAGUCGAAGGUGUUAAGUGAGCAUUUGGGUUUUAAGGAGACAAAGGAUUUUGGGAAAUAUUUAGGAGUUCCUCUUUUUGAUUCAAGGAUUAAGAAAGUCAUGUGUCGCUAUAUUUUAGAUAAAGUCCAAUUGAGGCUUUUGGGGUGGAAUGCUUAUCAUUUAUCUUUAGAUGGCAGAAAUACCUUAGCUCAGUCGGUGAUCUCUGCUAUGCCAAUCUACUCCAUGUAAUCUAUUAAGCUGCCAGUGGCUAUUUGUGCUAAGGUUAAGAAAGCUUGUAGGCAUUUUAUUUGGGAAUCAAAUGAUCAAGUUAAUAAAAUGGCUCUCGUUGCUUGGAAUAAAAUUCAAUAACCUAAAUCUAGUGGUGGAUUGGGUUUUCGGAAGAUGGGUGUGUUGAAUCAAGCUUUUAUCAUGAAGCUUGGUUGGAGAAUUGUUUAGGAGUCAUCAGCGCUUUGGGUUCAAGUUCUUAAGAAUAAAUAUAAAGUGGCAGAUGAACCUAUCCCGAAGUUGCCUUAUGUUAAAAAUUGCUCGCCUGUUUGCAGCAACAUUCAAGGUGCGUUUGACAAUUUUUAGAGUUCUCUUUGUUGGUCUUUUGGUAAUGGAAGUAAUAUAAGCUUUUGGCUUAAUGCUUGGAUACCUAAGAUUGGAAUUUUGAAUGAUAGGACUGUGAGAAGUGUUCUGUUGAAUUUAUUAGAGAAAAAGUUGAGCAUUUUGUGGUUAGGGGAGCUGACUAGGAUUGAGAUGUUUUGAAACUAUAUUCGAAUUUGAAUAUGUUGCACUUAAUAGCAGUGGUUCCGCCCGCUAGAAGUGAUCUUGGACCUGACGAGGUUUAUUGGGUAGGUUCAAGCUGUGGUAGGUUUUCUAUUAAAACAACAUACUUUGCUUUUUGUAGUAGUAAUUAGAAUAUCAAGGAGGCAAAUUGGGAGAUGAUCUGGAAGUGGAAGGGACCUCAAUGUGUUAGGUCAUUGUUAUGGUUGGUUAUGCAUAAUGCCAUUCUUACUAAUGUGGAAAGAAGGAGAAGACACAUUGGUGUGGACGAGACUUGUCCUAGUUGCUUAAUUGCUGCUGAAUCUAUUUUUCAUGUUUUACGUGAGUGUGUUGUUGCUAGAGAGCUUUGGAAGAGUUUGAAUCGUCCUUUUGCUUGGUCUUUGAAUCGUCCUUUGAAUUUAAAGAAUAAUGAGAAGAGUAAGAAUUUUAUUCCUUGGUCUUUACUUUUU
RNAcentral lists this unclassified non-coding RNA (5574 nucleotides) under Hevea brasiliensis (rubber tree). The record is from RNAcentral. Lineage: Eukaryota; Viridiplantae; Streptophyta; Magnoliopsida; Malpighiales; Euphorbiaceae.